This 482-nucleotide ribosomal RNA is filed under the name uncultured bacterium. RNAcentral describes it as "partial 16S ribosomal RNA". It matches the Rfam family "Bacterial small subunit ribosomal RNA", at positions 30 to 507 of the family's 1533-position model. The record is from RNAcentral.
AUUGAACGCUGGCGGCAUGCUUUACACAUGCAAGUCGAACGGUAACAGGCCGCAAGGUGCUGACGAGUGGCGAACGGGUGAGUAAUGCAUCGGAACGUGCCCAGUCGUGGGGGAUAACUACUCGUAAGAGUAGCUAAUACCGCAUACGAUCUAUGGAUGACAGCGGGGGACCGUAAGGCCUCGCGCGAUUGGAGCGGCCGAUGUCAGAUUAGGUAGUUGGUGGGGUAAAGGCUCACCAAGCCAACGAUCUGUAGCUGGUCUGAGAGGACGACCAGCCACACUGGGACUGAGACACGGCCCAGACUCCUACGGGAGGCAGCAGUGGGGAAUUUUGGACAAUGGGCGCAAGCCUGAUCCAGCAAUGCCGCGUGCAGGAAGAAGGCCUUCGGGUUGUAAACUGCUUUUGUACGGAACGAAACGGCUCUGGUUAAUACCCGGGGCUAAUGACGGUACCGUAAGAAUAAGCACCGGCUAACUACGUG